GAGAGACGCUGGCGGCGUGCUUAACACAUGCAAGUCGAACGGAGUUACGUAUGAAGUAUUUCGGUACGGACUACAUAACUUAGUGGCGAACGGGUGAGUAACACGUGGGCAACCUGCCCUUAACCGGGGGAUAACAUUGUGAAAACAGUGCUAAUACCGCAUAACAGAGUAUCGGGCAUCCGAUAUUUUUAAAAGGAGCAAUCCGGUUUAGGAUGGGCCCGCGUCCAAUUAGCUAGUUGGUGAGGUAACGGCUCACCAAGGCUACGAUUGGUAGCCGAACUGAGAGGUUGAUCGGCCACAUUGGGACUGAGACACGGCCCAGACUCCUACGGGAGGCAGCAGUGGGGAAUAUUGGGCAAUGGGCGAAAGCCUGACCCAGCGACGCCGCGUGAAGGAUGAAGGUCUUCGGAUUGUAAACUUCUUUGAUCAGGGAAGAAAGAAAUGACGGUACCUGAAGAACAAGCCACGGCUAACUCCGUG
Molecule: ribosomal RNA, 480 nt
Filed under: uncultured bacterium
Lineage: Bacteria
Description: bacterial SSU rRNA
Rfam family: Bacterial small subunit ribosomal RNA
Source: RNAcentral